GAAUCAACGCUGGCGGCGCGCUUAACACAUGCAAGUCGAGCGAGAAAGGGGAGCAAUCCCUGAGUAAAGCGGCGCACGGGUGAGUAACACGUGGGGCAUCUACCUCCUGAUGGGGAAUAACUCUGGGAAACCGGAGCUAAUACCGCAUAAGCCUGAGAAGGGAAAGUCGCAAGACGUCGGGAGAGGACCCCGCGGCCGAUUAGCUAGUUGGUGAGGUAACGGCUCACCAAGGCAAAGAUCGGUAGCCGGCCUGAGAGGGCACACGGCCACACUGGCACUGAAACACGGGCCAGACUCCUACGGGAGGCAGCAGUGGGGAAUCUUGCACAAUGGGGGAAACCCUGAUGCAGCGACGCCGCGUGAGCGAUGAAGCCCUUCGGGGCGUAAAGCUCUUUCGGCCCGAACGAUAAUGACGGUACGGGAAGAAGAAGCUGCGGCUAACUACGUGCCAGCAGCCGCGGUAAUACGUAGGCAGCAAGCGUUGUUCGGAGUUACUGGGCGUAAAGAGUGCGUAGGCGGUGUCGAAAGUUUGGCGUGAAAUCUCCCGGCUUAACUGGGAGGGUGCGCCGAAAACUGCGACGCUGGAGUGUGGGAAAGGCAAGCGGAAUUCCUGGUGUAGCGGUGAAAUGCGUAGAUAUCAGGAGGAACACCGGCGGUGUAGACGGCUUGCUAGACCAUAACUGACGCUGAGGCACGAAAGCGUGGGUAGCAAACAGGAUUAGAUACCCUGGUAGUCCACGCCCUAAACGAUGCAUACUUGGUGUGGGCAGUUCAUUCUGUCCGUGCCGGAGCUAACGCGUUAAGUAUGCCGCCUGGGGAGUACGGUCGCAAGGCUG
Molecule: ribosomal RNA, 836 nt
Filed under: uncultured bacterium
Lineage: Bacteria
Description: bacterial SSU rRNA
Rfam family: Bacterial small subunit ribosomal RNA
Source: RNAcentral